RNAcentral lists this ribosomal RNA (487 nucleotides) under uncultured bacterium. RNAcentral describes it as "partial 16S ribosomal RNA". It matches the Rfam family "Bacterial small subunit ribosomal RNA", at positions 32 to 523 of the family's 1533-position model. The record is from RNAcentral.
AAUCAACGCUGGCGGCGUGCCUAACACAUGCAAGUCGAGCGAGAAAGGGGCUUCGGCCCUGAGUAAAGCGGCGCACGGGUGAGUAACACGUGGGUAAUCUGCCCUCGAGUGGGGAAUAACACCGGGAAACCGGUGCUAAUACCGCAUACGAUCACGAUGUUUUCGGAUGUUGUGAUGAAAGGAGCAAUUCGCUCUUGGAGGAGCCCGCGGCUGAUUAGCUAGUUGGUGAGGUAAUGGCUCACCAAGGCAACGAUCAGUAGCCGGUCUGAGAGGACGGUCGGCCACACUGGAACUGAGACACGGUCCAGACUCCUACGGGAGGCAGCAGUGGGGAAUUUUUCGCAAUGGGGGCAACCCUGACGAAGCAACGCCGCGUGGAUGAUGAAGUCUCUUGGGACGUAAAAUCCUUUCGACAGGGAAGAAACCGCAAGGUUGACGGUACCUGUAGAAGAAGCCCCGGCUAACUCCGUGCCAGCAGCCGCGGUAA